RNAcentral lists this small RNA (27 nucleotides) under Bombyx mori (domestic silkworm). Its description in RNAcentral is "ovarian small RNA-16933". The record is from RNAcentral. Lineage: Eukaryota; Metazoa; Arthropoda; Insecta; Lepidoptera; Bombycidae.
GCGGAUCUGGUUAGUCCAACUUGUCGG